GGGAGUGUAGUGAAAUGGAGCCAAACUUAGGCGCCAUGAUCUUGAUCUGAUUGACAUAACAGCUUGAAAAAAAUCUGUGCAUAUAGAAGCAAGAAACUUACUGGACUCCCAAACAUUAACUGGAACUGGACCCCCUCCAAACAUUAAUUGAAGCCGAGGAAGAAGGGUCUGAGUACGAAGACCAGGAAGAAGAAGACGAUGACGAAGACGACGACGAUGAUCAGGAGGAAGACGAUCGGAUUCUGCAGCCGCAGCCUGAGGUAAACGGUGACGGCAAUAGAGAUGGGCCCAUUUCUGUUACCCUUACUGACCCGGAUGUAUUGGAUUGCCCUAUCUGCAUUGAGCCCCUCAGCAUCCCUGUUUUUCAGGAUACAGGGAGAGAGUUUUUGCAAUCAUUGGUGUCAAGGUGUAUGCUGCUGGGCUAUAUGUGAAUCAGUCAAUUUCACUAGGAUAAAACUGUUUGCAUUUAUCAAACCUGAUUGAACAAGGAAAGAGAGGAGGGGGAAAAGUAAAUUAAGAAGCUAAUAUUGAUUGGAAACUGCAGCUCCUUUGGAAAAAUCUCUGCAAAUUGUUCUGGUGAGAGAUAUGGAUGGUAAAACGUUUUGGGAUGCCUUAGAUGAAGCCAUCUCUCCAAGAAUUAAAUCGCCUACUCCAGUUGAUACCUCUGCUCUUUCUACAUUUAGUACUCUGUGUAGACACCAAAUUUUAAAUAAUUUUGUAUGUUGCAUCUAAUUCAUGAAUUUUGUUUCAGAUUGUUUGCAUUUUAGUUCAUUAUUGUUUGUUUCGCACUUUUAGUUGUUAUUUCAUUUUAGUUUUGUUCAUUUUU
Coffea arabica (coffee) is the source of this 826-nucleotide long non-coding RNA. RefSeq lists it as uncharacterized. The record is from RefSeq and is a predicted model, not a curated record. NCBI's taxonomy places the organism in Eukaryota, Viridiplantae, Streptophyta, Magnoliopsida, Gentianales, Rubiaceae.